Molecule: transfer RNA, 73 nt
Filed under: Sus scrofa (pig)
Lineage: Eukaryota; Metazoa; Chordata; Mammalia; Artiodactyla; Suidae
Rfam family: tRNA
About the family: Transfer RNA (tRNA) molecules are approximately 80 nucleotides in length. Their secondary structure includes four short double-helical elements and three loops (D, anti-codon, and T loops).
Source: Rfam by way of RNAcentral
UCCCUGGUGGCCUAGUGGGUGAUGAUUCGGCGUUGUUACUGCUGUGGCUCAGGUUCGAGCCCUGGCCCAGGAA